RNAcentral lists this ribosomal RNA (497 nucleotides) under uncultured bacterium. Its description in RNAcentral is "partial 16S ribosomal RNA". It matches the Rfam family "Bacterial small subunit ribosomal RNA", at positions 28 to 507 of the family's 1533-position model. The record is from RNAcentral.
GACGAACGCUGGCGGCGUGCCUAAUACAUGCAAGUUGAGCGCUGAAGGUUGGUACUUGUACCAACUGGAUGAGCAGCGAACGGGUGAGUAACGCGUGGGGAAUCUGCCUUUGAGCGGGGGACAACAUUUGGAAACGAAUGCUAAUACCGCAUAAAAACUUUAAACACAAGUUUUAAGUUUGAAAGAUGCAAUUGCAUCACUCAAAGAUGAUCCCGCGUUGUAUUAGCUAGUUGGUGAGGUAAAGGCUCACCAAGGCGAUGAUACAUAGCCGACCUGAGAGGGUGAUCGGCCACAUUGGGACUGAGACACGGCCCAAACUCCUACGGGAGGCAGCAGUAGGGAAUCUUCGGCAAUGGACGAAAGUCUGACCGAGCAACGCCGCGUGAGGGAAGAAGGUUUUCGGAUCGUAAAACUCGGUUGGUAGAGAAGAACGUUGGUGAGAGUGGAAAGCUCAUCAAGUGACGGUAACUACACAGAAAGGGACGGCUAACUACGUG